RNAcentral lists this ribosomal RNA (406 nucleotides) under uncultured bacterium. Its description in RNAcentral is "partial 16S ribosomal RNA". It matches the Rfam family "Bacterial small subunit ribosomal RNA", at positions 30 to 526 of the family's 1533-position model. The record is from RNAcentral.
AUUGAACGCUGGCGGCAGGCCUAACACAUGCAAGUCGAGCGAGCGGCGGACGGGUGAGUAAUGUCUGGGAAACUGCCUGAUGGAGGUGGAUAACUACUGGAAACGGUAGCUAAUACCGCCUACCAUCAGCUGUGCCCAGAUGGGGUGAGCUAGUAGGUGGGGUAACGGCUCACCUUGGCGACGAUCCCUAGCUGGUCUGAGAGGAUGACCAGCCACACUGGAACUGAGACACGGUCCAGACUCCUAAGGGGGGCAGCAGUGGGGAAUAUUGCACAAUGGGCGAAAGCCUGAGGCAGCCAUGCCGCGUGUGUGAAGAAGGCCUUCGGGUUGUAAAGCACUUUCAGCGGGGAGGCGGUACCCGAAGAAGAAGCACCGGCUAACUCCGUGCCAGCAGCCGCGGUAAUUC